This 429-nucleotide ribosomal RNA is filed under the name Gemmatimonadota bacterium. RNAcentral's name for it is "Gemmatimonadetes bacterium partial 16S ribosomal RNA". It matches the Rfam family "Bacterial small subunit ribosomal RNA", at positions 355 to 776 of the family's 1533-position model. The record is from RNAcentral. Lineage: Bacteria; Pseudomonadati; Gemmatimonadota.
UAGGGAAUCUUCGGCAAUGGACGAAAGUCUGACCGAGCAACGCCGCGUGAGUGAAGAAGGUUUUCGGAUCGUAAAACUCUGUUGUUAGAGAAGAACAAGGACGUUAGUAACUGAACGUCCCCUGACGGUAUCUAACCAGAAAGCCACGGCUAACUACGUGCCAGCAGCCGCGGUAAUACGUAGGUGGCAAGCGUUUUCCGGAUUUAUUGGGCGUAAAGCGAGCGCAGGCGGUUUCUUAAGUCUGAUGUGAAAGCCCCCGGCUCAACCGGGGAGGGUCAUUGGAAACUGGGAGACUUGAGUGUAGAAGAGGAGAGUGGAAUUCCAUGUGUAGCGGUGAAAUGCGUAGAUAUAUGGAGGAACACCAGUGGCGAAGGCGGCUCUCUGGUCUGUAACUGACGCUGAGGCUAGAAAGCGUGGGGAGCAAACAGG